CCUACGGGAGGCAGCAGUGAGGAAUAUUGGUCAAUGGACGAGAGUCUGAACCAGCCAAGUAGCGUGAAGGAUGACUGCCCUAUGGGUUGUAAACUUCUUUUAUAUGGGAAUAAAAUUUUCCACGUGUGGGAUUUUGUAUGUACCAUAUGAAUAAGGAUCGGCUAACUCCGUGCCAGCAGCCGCGGUAAUACGGAGGAUCCGAGCGUUAUCCGGAUUUAUUGGGUUUAAAGGGAGCGUAGGUGGAUUGUUAAGUCAGUUGUGAAAGUUUGCGGCUCAACCGUAAAAUUGCAGUUGAAACUGGCAGUCUUGAGUACAGUAGAGGUGGGCGGAAUUCGUGGUGUAGCGGUGAAAUGCUUAGAUGUCACGAAGAACUCCGAUUGCGAAGGCAGUUCACUGGACUGCAACUGACACUGAGGCUCGAAAGUGUGGGUAUCAAACAGGAUUAGAUACCCUUGUAGUC
RNAcentral lists this ribosomal RNA (460 nucleotides) under uncultured bacterium. RNAcentral's name for it is "partial 16S ribosomal RNA". It matches the Rfam family "Bacterial small subunit ribosomal RNA", at positions 338 to 795 of the family's 1533-position model. The record is from RNAcentral.